GCUGAGUGUGGUGGCGCACACCUGUAGUCCCAGCUACUCUGGAAGCUGAGGUGGCAGGAUUGCUUGGGCCUGGGAGAUAGAGGCUGCAGUGAGCUAUGUUGUGCCACUGCACUCCAGCCUGGGCUACAGAGUAAGAUGCUGUCUCAA
This 147-nucleotide non-coding RNA is filed under the name Nomascus leucogenys (northern white-cheeked gibbon). The record is from Rfam by way of RNAcentral. Lineage: Eukaryota; Metazoa; Chordata; Mammalia; Primates; Hylobatidae.